Molecule: transfer RNA, 82 nt
Filed under: Cubamyces sp. BRFM 1775
Lineage: Eukaryota; Fungi; Basidiomycota; Agaricomycetes; Polyporales; Polyporaceae
Description: Leiotrametes sp. BRFM 1775 tRNA-Thr
Rfam family: tRNA
About the family: Transfer RNA (tRNA) molecules are approximately 80 nucleotides in length. Their secondary structure includes four short double-helical elements and three loops (D, anti-codon, and T loops). Further hydrogen bonds mediate the characteristic L-shaped molecular structure. tRNAs have two regions of fundamental functional importance: the anti-codon, which is responsible for specific mRNA codon recognition, and the 3' end, to which the tRNAs corresponding amino acid is attached (by aminoacyl-tRNA synthetases). tRNAs cope with the degeneracy of the genetic code in two manners: having more than one tRNA (with a specific anti-codon) for a particular amino acid; and 'wobble' base-pairing, i.e. permitting non-standard base-pairing at the 3rd anti-codon position.
Source: RNAcentral
UCCCGUUUAGCUCAGUUGGUAGAGCGCGUCACUAGUAUUUUCGGCUAUGACGAGGUCAGUCGUUCGAGUCGGCUAAUGGGAA